GGGUUGUGAGGUUAAGCGACUAAGCGUACACGGUGGAUGCCUAGGCAAUCAGAGGCGAUGAAGGACGUGCUAAUCUGCGAUAAGCGUCGGUAAGGUGAUAUGAACCGUUACAACCGACGAUUUCCGAAUGGGGAAACCCAGUGCAAUCCGUUGCACUAUCGUUUGAUGAAUACAUAGUCAAACGAAGCGAACCGGGGGAACUGAAACAUCUCAGUACCCCGAGGAAAAGAAAUCAACCGAGAUUCCCCUAGUAGCGGCGAGCGAACGGGGAGCAGCCCAGAGUCUUAAUCAGCAUUAGCAUCAGGAGAACGGUCUGGAAAGUCCGGCAGUAAAGGGUGAUAGCCCCGUAUCCGAAGGUGUUAGUGUUGUGAACUCGACGAGUAGGGCGGGACACGUGUUAUCCUGUCUGAAUAUGGGGGGACCAUCCUCCAAGGCUAAAUACUCCUGAUUGACCGAUAGUGAACCAGUACCGUGAGGGAAAGGCGAAAAGAACCCCGGCGAGGGGAGUGAAAUAGAACCUGAAACCGUGUACGUACAAGCAGUGGGAGCC
RNAcentral lists this ribosomal RNA (550 nucleotides) under Providencia sp. MGF014. RNAcentral's name for it is "partial 23S ribosomal RNA". It matches the Rfam family "Bacterial large subunit ribosomal RNA", at positions 1 to 581 of the family's 2925-position model. The record is from RNAcentral. Lineage: Bacteria; Pseudomonadati; Pseudomonadota; Gammaproteobacteria; Enterobacterales; Morganellaceae.